Homo sapiens (human) is the source of this 5133-nucleotide long non-coding RNA. RefSeq lists it as uncharacterized. The transcript is spliced from 2 exons. The record is from RefSeq and is a predicted model, not a curated record. Lineage: Eukaryota; Metazoa; Chordata; Mammalia; Primates; Hominidae.
CCCUCUUCCUGGCUGCUAAAGUUGACACAAGACGGCUUCUUGGAACUCCCCCUCCUCCCGCCUAAAUGUACAGAGCAAGACUUGAAGUCAAAAGAUAGAUAGCGAUCGUGCUGAAAGUCAGGUGGAAAACAAGACUGCUAAUUUUAUGAAACAACCUAUCAACCCACUGGGAAGAGAUGACAAGAGGUACAUGGGCGCUUCUGCAGGAGGUGGAGGUGGAGGUGAAAUGCCGAGGUUCUAGACUGAUGUAAAUUUCUCCAACUAACUCCAGAUCGAGAGCCUACAAAUCCGACAAAUAUGCCCACACUUUGACAGUAACCGCCUCCCAGCACGCCCCACCACCGCCAACACACAUGGAGGGGUUUGAACUUUUCCACCUUCCGGACCUCUGCAGUCCGUCGCAGGACGCCCAAACCACAGGCCGGACACAGAUGAAGCCAGACCACAGCCCCCGCCCCAGCCACCGCGGUAGGUGGGUGCCCAAGAGACUUCUCAGGUGAGGGCAGGGGCCCCCUGAAAGGCACUAGAGAAGGCCUGCCGCCCGAAUCUCCCCAAGUGCAGGGGAGAAUUACAUUUCCCCACCUCCUACCCAACCUGCCCCGGCCGAGUUAUGGACAUCGCCGCCUCAUUCUAGACUUGAAGGCACUCUGCGGCCACCAAGAGACCACUCCGCAUCCUAGGUCGAGCCUGUGGGAGAAGCACUCGGGGCCCGGGAGGCCGAGGCCUAAGGAAAGCAGCCGAUGGCUCCCAAGACAACUCUGUCCGGCCAGUACUCCAGGGCAACUUCAACCCCACUAGGACCCAGGCCAAAACCAUAUAUAUAUAUAUAUAUAUAUAAAUUAACGCAAAACAGAGCCACUUUGGUGCCUACCCCUCCACAAGUAGGUAGGCACAUCCAGGUAGCUCUGUCAGAAGAUGGGACCUGGCGCCUUGCAGGGGUAGCCCUAUGGAGAUCCAGAAGCCCCGUUUCGAGCUACGAAGUCUCUCUUCUACUGCAGUCUUCUCUCCAACGUGGAGAUCUAGCAACUUCCCUCCCCCUGGGAUUCCCUGUGAAUCCACUCUAGUUGGGAUAUAGCCUCUCUACAGCUCAGUGACGUAGCGCGCCAAAACCAAGUACCCACCCCGGCAACUGGAAGACCUAGCUGUCCUCCAUCCCGCCUCCGCAGUCGAUAAUCUCCAGGAUCCAAGCAAAGUGCCUGUCCACGUUGUCACCAGAUCCACAAGCGCUUUUGAUGAGAGCUGCUACCCUUUUGGAAACACGAUUCCCUCUCCCUAGUAGAGAAGAAUCUAUUCUUCUGGGCUGGCGUAGACAAAGAAUAACCAAGAUAAAGUAUGUGGUGUGAAAAUAUCAGCUGCCUCUUCUUUUUUUGUUUUUGAAACGGAGUCUCGCUCUGUCUCCUAGGGUGGAGUGCAGUGGCACUAUCUCUGCUCACUGCAACUUCCGCCUCCUGGAUUCAAGCGAUUCUCCUACCUCAGCCUCUGGAGUAGCUGGGACUAUAGGCGCCCGCCACCACGCCCGGCUAAUUUUUUGUAUAUUUAGUAGAGACGGGGUGGGGGGGUGUUUCACCAUGUUGGCCAGGCUGGUCACGAACUCCUGACCUCAAAUGAUCGGCCCACCUCGACCUCCCAAAGUGCUGGGAUUACAGGCGUGAGCCACCGCGCGCCGGGUGGAAAACAUUAGCUUCUAAUAGCAGUCUUGGAGUGGAGUGAAGACGUUCAGGAAGUGGUGGAGAUAGGCCUGCUCAAUUAACCGGCCCCAGAUAUCAUUUCUCUGGCUACCUCUUUUCUCGCCUGGCCUGGCCCUCUAUACCGUUUUUUGUUUGUUUGUUUUGUUUUGUUUUUUUUCUGCAAAACGUUUUCUGCUGCAACUUUCUCUUUAUUUAUGCCUUUAUCUUUCUUAAACAAGAGGUCCCUGGAAAUAACUAACUAAGGAGGGGAGAGGAACCCCCUCACCCCCAAUUUCAUGAAUGAGUGCUACAUUCAUGCUGGCCGGGUACCAAGAGCAUCUUUAGAUCUUUAGACCUGAGUCUUCUCAUCUGUGAAAAAGAGGUUAAAGCAGAUGAACCCUAAAGGCCCAUUUCCAGUCUUAAAUUCAACACUUUCAAGACAAAACUUUUCUUCUGUAUUCCUGAGUGUGUAUAUAUAUGUUAUGUAAUAUAUAUUAUAAUGUAUAUAUAUAAACUUGGCUUAGUAAUGUUCUGUGCUGAGAUGCAGAUGAGGAGGACAUUUUAAACUUCUAAGGGUGCCCUCCCUCUGGUUGUUUCCUCCCAGACGAGCAUUCUUUGUGGAACAGAAAGAGAUCCUCAGGGUGGAAAGCACCAGAGGCAGGUCUCCUGAAUACGGUGCUGUCCAAGUCUACUCAUGGUCACAUGAUUCAUUAGGACUGUAAAUCCUCAUCAGAACACAAGCAUCAGACUCUCUGACCCUGCCAAUUCAAGUACUAAUGGUAAAAUCGUCCAAGAGGCUGGCCAACAUAUGCACACAUUAAUUAGAGUUAUGUGGGCCUUUGGCUUCCAGUCUGAUGAACAGCUCCAGGGAUGCAGGGGGCAGAGGGUUUGGGGUCCUUUUCACCCAGCAGAUGCCCUUUGGUCCUGAGAGGGCAUUAGUCCAAUACAGUGGGUGAUCUGAAAGCUAACCCCUUUCAGAGGAUGGCUUAACCUCAGCAACUAGGCUAAAACCUAGCAGUGGGUCCCUAAGAGGGACAGGGGAAAAAAAUCUGUUCAGAGGAAAUGAGAAUCAGCAGUAAGCUUUUGUUGUUAUUACUUCAUCUUGUAUUAUUAUGAGACAGGAGUGGGGAGAAGCCCAAGGUGAAAGAAGAGAAAUUUUUGGUAUGCAUGGAAGACGUGGAUACUUAGCAACCCUCUCCCCUGGCACUCAAGUGCACACGCAGAGAAAGUAAUUGCUAUAUUCCAUCUAGAAGCUGAAAAUGCUUUCAACACCAUUUACAAGGAUAAGGGAAGGAGCAGCUGAGGGGAGCAUGGGUUUGAUUCAACUUAACUGCAAUUCUGGCCAGGUACCACAAGUCACAGAGCAUCCCAGAGAGCAGAAUCCCAGAGAGUGUCCCCCAUCCCUGGCAAGGGACACUAUGCAUGGCACUUUUCCUACAAGAUGUGUCCUUUUCUCCAUCCAUAUCUAACUCCUAUGUGGAGGAGAGUCAAGGUCACUCACAGUCUCUAUUAGACUUGGGGAGCAAGACCCCUCAGCCUCUCCAAGGGUCACAUUGAUGUAAAUGAAGGUGUCAUCCGCUCUUGUAGGGAACAGUCACCUCUGGCUUUACCUUCAUGCCUUUUUGAAUUGUAAAGGGCAAAAUGCCUGGAGUCUAUCAAGUCUACACAUAGUUAUUAUACUGCAAAAUUUGUCUCAAUUGUUUUGUGAUAAAUGUGUAUUUCCCAAUCCCCCACCUCCUUCCAUUAUAACCCAUAUGAACCAUCUAUGGACUAGAACAUAGCAAAAAACCUCUCUAUGGUAGGAGAAAAUGUAUUUAUUACUUAUAUGAUGCAAACAAUGUAGACCUUUUCAUUUUGAGUUGGAGAGAGGGGACACACAAAAAUUGAGAAGCCACAUUCCCACAAUUCUAGGCAGAAUUUGAUCUCACUUUUUUACUUCUUUUAUUUCUCUUUCUCCCUUUUUUCUUAUUCUUUGUCCUCAUCCACAGAGAAAAGACAAUCCAAUCUGGAGUCCUAGGGAUUGAUUAUUCCACAUUUGUCCCUAUCUUCUCUUUCCCAAGAGAAGAUCCCUUUGUUUCUGAGUUUACAUCAUGAAAGGAGUUUACAUCAUUACUCCCCCCUUUUUUAUUUAAACUUAAAGUACAUGAGUAACAAGAACUCUUACACCUAGGUAAAGCCUUGGGAAGGGAGCAAACUGCUCAGGCUGCUAAGGUGUAAGAGGAUGUAUGUGAAGGGGAGUGCUCUGAGAGGCAACCAUUUCUAGGGAAAGGUCUUGUCCUCUUAGUAACAACAACAAAAGAAGUCCAUUUUCAAACAUCUAUUAGACAAUGUCAAUCUUUCUUUUCAAUUGUAUGCUUAGCUUAGCAAAGAGAGUCAGGUGGAAUCUCACACCUUGCCCAAAUUGUAUUUGGUGUGAGGCUCUUCAAAGCUUCCAAGACACCAUCCUUCUCCUCUCCCCCUAUCAGUGGAACAGAUAAAACUGGAGCAACCUGCAUUAUUCUAAAACCAUAGAGAUGAUAUUUCUGUUUGCUUUUCUACUCAUUAGGAAGCUCUGAGAGGAUGCAUAAGAAAUGAAUCACAGUGGGUGAAGAAACUGGACAGACUUCAGUGGGUGAGGAAACUGGGGAGACUUUUCACAUGUACAUUUUGGGUAUUUUUAAACCAUGAGAAUUACUGCCUAUUCAUGAAAAAUUAACCUGAGUAGAAUAUAUAUGAGAGAGUUGCUGCUAAAUAUAUUCCACAUAAUACCACAUAUUGAGGAGGAGGAUGUUACCUACUGAAGAUAUGGGAUUGAAAAACAUGCAAUAACUUUCUGUUUUGCUCAAUGGGUCAUAAGUUGAAAAUUAGACUAGAAAAUAUUUGUUCAGAGAAGUACAAAAUCUUAGGUGAGGCAAAAUGCACACUAGUCCUCUCCUCCCUUAUCUUUCCAAAUGGGGAGACUUGUCAGUUUAAAGCCAUUUGCUCCUCCAGUUAAGUUCUAGGAUCGUAGACUUGGAGGACUGGCUGAGCCAUCAGUCCCAAGUGGAAAGGCUAAGCUAAGCAUACAACUGAAAAGAAAGAUUGACAUUGUCUAAUAGAUGUUUGAAAAUUGACUUCUUUUGUUGUUGUUACUAAGAGGACAAGACCUUUCCCUAGAAAUGGUUGCCUCUCAGAGCACUCCCCUUCACAUACAUCCUCUUACACCUUAGCAGCCUGAGCAAUUUUCUCCCUUCCCAAGGCUUUACCUAGGUGUAAAAGUUCUUGUUACUCAUGAACUUUAAGUUUAAAUAAAAAAGGGGGGAGUAAUGAUGUAAACUCUUUUCAUGUUGUAAACUCAGAAACAAAGGGAUCAACUAAGCAGGGUGUGGAACAAUCGACCCCUUCUACCCAUAGGUCAUUAAAUGGCUGCUGGAUGCCAAAAAGAUUUUAAGCUAGAACUGUUUUCCUUUUCAAGAAAUAUGCAAAUAAACAAACAAACUCUACCAAA